Molecule: ribosomal RNA, 253 nt
Filed under: uncultured bacterium
Lineage: Bacteria
Description: partial 16S ribosomal RNA
Rfam family: Bacterial small subunit ribosomal RNA
Source: RNAcentral
UACGUAGGGGGCAAGCGUUGUCCGGAUUUAUUGGGCGUAAAGAGCGUGUAGGCGGCCGUACAGGUCAGCUGUGAAACUCGAGGCUCAACCUCGAGACGUCGGUUGAAACCGUACGGCUAGAGUCCGGAAGAGGAGAGUGGAAUUCCCGGUGUAGCGGUGAAAUGCGCAGAUAUCGGGAAGAACACCCGUGGCGAAGGCGGCUCUCUGGGACGGUACUGACGCUGAGACGGCGAAAGCGUGGGGAGCGAACAGG